Condylostylus longicornis is the source of this 1219-nucleotide long non-coding RNA. RefSeq lists it as uncharacterized. The transcript has 3 exons. The record is from RefSeq and is a predicted model, not a curated record. Lineage: Eukaryota; Metazoa; Arthropoda; Insecta; Diptera; Dolichopodidae.
AUUUUAAAAGUUUGUUUUGUAAUGAAAACAAUUAAUUUAUUGCAAAAAUUGAGUUUAAUUAUGUAAUAAUAAAUUGCAUUGUGUAUGUGUGUGAAGAAUUGCAUUUUGUGAUUCAAUUGCAUUGAAUGAACAGUUUUUCUUGAAGACAAUUUGAAUUUGGUACUGGAAAUUUGAGUAUUCAUCAUUGUAUGCUAUACUAACUUUAUUAUCUCUAAUAAGGUGUCUAAAUAAAAUUCAUUCUAUAUUAAAUAAUUGAAAAAAUAAAUAAAUAAAAAUACAUAAAAUAUUUUACAUAAAUUUAAUAAUAAUUACAUUAAAAUACAAAUAUACAUAUAUAUAUAUACAUACAUUAAUUAUAUAAAAUUAAAUUAUAUAAAAUUAUAAAAAAAAAAAACAAUAAUUAAAUAUUAUGAAUGACCUUUAAGUGUUUUACACGAUCAAAAGGAAAAAUAAAGAAAAUUUUUUAGUAUACAAGGAGAAAAAAGAAAAGAAACAGAAAAUUCCUUUUGUAAAAUAAAAAGGAAAACAAUAAUAAAAAAAAUUUUAUUUCUAUAUUUUAAAUUUUUACAAUUUUUAUUAUUUUUCUUGGAAAAAAUAUUUUUAUACAAUUUGCAUUGGUGCUUUAUUAAACAUUUAUAAUUAUAAAAUUAGAAAAGAAAAACAAAAAAUGUGAUUCUGUUUAUUAGAAAAAAAUUCUUUUGAUUACAAUUAAACUAAAUUAAAGUCACUUAAACUGAAACAUAAUUGCAAAGACAAAGACAGAGAGAUAGAACAAGAGCGAAACAGACAGAAAAGAAGGCAAGAGAAAGAGAGAGAGAGAGGAAGAAAGAGUGAAAAAAUAAGGAAACUAUUAAAACAAAAACAUAGCCAACAGUCCGACUGAAGAUUUAUUUUUCUCUUUCGUUUUCAUUUUCAUCCAUUUUUGAAAAACGAGAAACAAAAGGUAAGUGUUUUGUAAUGGAGCACAGAUUGUUUUUGAAAACAGUUAACAGAUAUGUAGAUUCCACUAAGUUUUUAUUAAGAAAUUAAGGUAAUUUAUAUUAUACGGUUUGUUUUAAAGUAACAGAUCCUUUUAACUCUAUUACUAACAAAUUAUUAUAAUCCUCGUCUUGCUCUCUGUACCAUUCUUUAUAGGUCUCUAAUUUUUGUUUAUCAUAAUAUUUUUAUUAAAGUUGAUUAAAAAGAUUUUGAUUUUAAACUGCCAUAGUACUUUGAUUUA